AGAGUUUGAUCCUGGCUCAGGAUGAACGCUAGCGGCAGGCUUAACACAUGCAAGUCGAGGGGUAGCAGGUUUAAAUUUCGGUUUAAAUGCUGACGACCGGCGCACGGGUGCGUAACGCGUAUACAAUCUACCUUAUACUGGAGGAUAGCCCUAAGAAAUUGGGAUUAAUACUCCAUAAUAUUAUUGGUCCGCAUGGAUUGAUUAUUAAAGCUACGGCGGUAUAAGAUGAGUAUGCGUCUGAUUAGCUAGUUGGUGAGGUAACGGCUCACCAAGGCUACGAUCAGUAGGGGGCCUGAGAGGGUUAUCCCCCACACUGGUACUGAGACACGGACCAGACUCCUACGGGAGGCAGCAGUGAGGAAUAUUGGUCAAUGGGCGCAAGCCUGAACCAGCCAUGCCGCGUGAAGGAAGAAUGUCCUAUGGAUUGUAAACUUCUUUUAUUUGGGAAGAAACCCCUCUACGUGUAGAGGUCUGACAGUACCAAAUGAAUAAGGACCGGCUAACUCCGUGCCAGCAGCCGCGGUAAUACGGAGGGUCCAAGCGUUAUCCGGAAUCAUUGGGUUUAAAGGGUUCGCAGGCGGUUUAUUAAGUCAGUGGUGAAAUCUCGAGGCUCAACCUCGAAACUGCCAUUGAUACUGAUAGACUUGAAUAUAGUUGGAGUAGGCGGAAUGUGUAGUGUAGCGGUGAAAUGCUUAG
Molecule: ribosomal RNA, 696 nt
Filed under: uncultured bacterium
Lineage: Bacteria
Description: bacterial SSU rRNA
Rfam family: Bacterial small subunit ribosomal RNA
Source: RNAcentral